AACGAACGCUGGCGGCAGGCUUAACACAUGCAAGUCGAACGCAUCGCAAGAUGAGUGGCAGACGGGUGAGUAACGCGUGGGAACAUACCCUUUUCUACGGAAUAGCUCUGGGAAACUGGAAUUAAUACCGUAUACGCCCUACGGGGGAAAGAUUUAUCGGGGAAGGAUUGGCCCGCGCUGGAUUAGCUAGUUGGUGGGGUAAAGGCCUACCAAGGCGACGAUCCAUAGCUGGUCUGAGAGGAUGAUCAGCCACAUUGGGACGGAGACACGGCCCCAACUCCUACGGGAGGCAGCAGUGGGGAAUAUUGGACAAUGGGCGCAAGCCUGAUCCAGCCAUGCCGCGUGAGUGAUGAAGGCCUUAGGGUUGUAAAGCUCUUUCACCGAUGAAGAUAAUGACGGUAGUCGGAGAAGAAGCCCCGGCUAACUUCGUGCCAGCCGCCGCUGUAA
Molecule: ribosomal RNA, 447 nt
Filed under: uncultured bacterium
Lineage: Bacteria
Description: partial 16S ribosomal RNA
Rfam family: Bacterial small subunit ribosomal RNA
Source: RNAcentral